GAGACCUCCGUUCAGGUGCUUCAGUGAUGGACUAUAACUUGUCUUCUCUGUGGGAUCCAUGGCAUAGUCCAAUGACCCUAGGGUAGGGCAGACAUGAGCCAUCCUGAAGAAACUUCAGGCAGAGAACCAGGAUGCACCAUGAAAUUCAUAAUGAUAUAAUAGGAUCUACAAAAUUCCUCAUGCCUGCCUAAUGGUUGUAGUGAAUGAAAUACCAAGACGAUGGAGUAGUGCUUCCUCAAGAGGUGAAGCACCUGCACAGACAGGAUCUGAAUUCAAGGAUCAUGGGACUAUCCCAAGUAUCCAACAGAGGAGACAGUUGAGAGUCCAUCGCCUACACACAUCCACCGAGGUCUCUUUCUUUGCCAAGUCACAGGGACUUGUCGCUAAACAAUGGUGGCAUUAAUUGUGACACUAGCCCCAGCUGAAAGUUCAGCCCUGGUGGCCUGAUAUUAGCGCAAGUGCAUUCGCGAUGCAGGCUCUGGCGCCUUUGCAAUCCUGAAAAUAGUGUCCAGUAGUGUUCUUGAGGGGCACUGUGGACCACACAUGAAAGCAAAAAAAUUAAGUCUCACCUGAGAGAAUGAGCAUCCUUGUCCUGGAGUCCAAGCAACAUUCAAAGAUUACUGUCAGAGGUCCCAAAACCCUCCUGCAAAGUGCAAACAACUUCAACCCUCCUAAUGAGACUGCAACCCACAACCUGGAACACAGUCAGCCUACCUGAAGUCCCUUUUGCUCCCGGAAAUCCCUGACAGCCAAAAGAUCUGUGGUGAGAGGCAGUGCCAUCCAGCAACAGCCCAAAGAAAGACUCCUUCCACAAUGAGAACGUUCGUGCAAAUGAAAUGAAACACAGCCUAGAUUACCAGUAAAAAACAAACACAGCUGCUUGCUUCUUAUUCUCCAGGAAUUAUGCAGCCCUCUGGUCAAAGUGGGAAGACAAGAGUUUCCUUGUUGGCCACUGUAAUGGGCAUUUAUGUUUUUAAAAGUAUCACAGCUGCCCAGUCAUUAAAACGUGACAGUGUUUAGAAGGAAACACUCAGGCAAUAGGUUCCCAUGAGGGUCGUCUUUCAUGUACUGAGAAAUGCUUAGUGUGGAAGACGUUGAGCCAGAUUGAGAAAAUGCUAGGCCAAUGAGGAACAUGGAAGUCAUGAAAAAAAGAAGCAAGUGUGGAGGACACAUCUCACCUAGCAUCAGUCCACCCCACUCCCAUUUGACUCCAGAUGUGAAAGUCCUCAAAUGAGGAGUUUGCAAGGAUGGUCCAAUUUUGCACCCCAAAUGUUCCCUGAACAGCAAACCAUGGUAUAGACUGCUUCUGCAAUUAAGGAACUGCAAGGAUGUAGUUGGAGGCACCUUGUGUGUCACCUAUCUUCAACUUUUUUGCAGGUGAAGUUGUGGGACCCCCUCCAAUCAUCACUAGAUUGUAUCCUCACCCCAUCUGACCUUAUUGCUGUUCACACUCCGUUCCAGAAAAGAAUCCCAAGAUGAUGGAGGCAUGCCUAAAGCACCUGCAUGGCUGAGAUGACGUAAAGCACCUGCAUGGCUGAGAAUGGAAUUUGAGGUAAAUUAGAGUGGCCCAGUGUACAGAACUACUAAUGGCUGGCAUCUCUCCCUGGGUUGCCAGCAGGACAAUAAAACAGAGGGAGAUGUC
Non-coding RNA from Macaca mulatta (Rhesus monkey), 1642 nucleotides. The record is from RefSeq and is a predicted model, not a curated record. Lineage: Eukaryota; Metazoa; Chordata; Mammalia; Primates; Cercopithecidae.